GAAAUACCUUUACUUCAGCCAGUGUUCUGGGGUCCCUCCAAACUGGGACCUCUGUGUUUGAUUGGCUUUUUGGCCACACAGGCCGUGUGAAAUUCAGCCCCAAUACUCAUGAACACAGGUUUGUGGCUGAAAGUUCUGGAGAGGACUUUUCUUUUUUUCUACUCACUGGAGUCAAAGUCAACACAGGCAUCACCACAUAAUUUCCCCUCUGUGUGGGAGUGAGAGGGGGUGGAGCUCUCACUUCACCCACAAAAGGAGAUGCCCUUUGGAGAUACAGGUUUUGUGUGGGCUUCAGAUAGAAUCUCACCCUUCCUACCCAAAACGUGUCUGUCUUCCACGUUGUAGGCCCAUGACCCGUGAAGAGCCGGCUCCCGGCCAAAGGGGCCACAGAGGGCCCAGGGCGAAUGCAAGCUCCAGCCUUGCCUUCUCCCACCUGCUUUCCAUUCUGGCCUCUGAGGAUUCUUCUUACCUUUCUUCCAAACCAACUGUUUAUUUAAAAGGUAUUUUUGAGUAAUUAUCCAGUAUCAUAGGUGUUCUAUACCAGAAUAAGGGGUGCUGGACAUUCUUGCACCUGUAUCAUCUGGAGAUUGCUUCUUCUCUCCUUUAUUUUUUUUCUCUCUCCCUCUUUCUUUUUCACAGGCCACAGUCUUCCAUCCCUCCGAGGCCAAUGGCAUUGGGGUCUCAGAGGCUUCCAGACUGACUCUCUGGAAUUCAGAGUUCUGCAUCCCAUGCUCAGCCUAGCUCAAUACUUCACGCAGUACAUCUACAAGAGAAUUCCCUACAUCUCCUCGAACUAGGUGAUCUGGCAAACGGAGGGCACACAUGCCAGUGGGGUAGAGCUGGAGAGGCUCUAGGGGAGAACAUGGCCACUUCCUCUUAUUGUGCAGAGCAGGAAACUGAGGCAUGGCACAUCAGGGCUCAGCACUCCAGCCAGAACCUGCUCCUUGCAUACAGCCAUGAGAAGCGUUGAAAGAAUGACUAAAAAGCAGUUUUAAAAAUAGCUGUUGGGCCGGGCGCGGUGGCUCAAGCCUGUAAUCCCAGCACUUUGGGAGGCCAAGGCAGAUGGGUCACGAGGUCAAGAGACUGAGACCAUCCUGGUCAACAUGGUGAAACCCCGUCUCUACUAAAAAUACAAAAAAUUAGCUGGGCAUGGUGGUGCGUGCCUGUAAUCCCAGCUACUCAGCAGGCUGAGGCAGGAGAAUUGCCUGAACCCAGGAGGCGGAGGUUGCGGUGAGCCGAGAUCGCGUCAUUGCACUCCAGCCUGGGUAACAAGAGCGAAACUCCGUCUCAAAAAAAAAAAAAUAGCUGUCAGUUCCUCCUCCCAGUCAACCUGUGCAUAGCUCUUAUUCACCAUGAAAAGAAAACACAUGCAGUGUGCUAUUCACUUAAAGUGAAACUCCAGAUGAAGUCAUACAUUGAACCCCAGUAUUGCCCAUUGUUUGUAAUCAAUGACUCUGAGCAAAUGGAGUUUCAUGAGGCCUCUGUGUGCCAGCUGUCCAUGAGAGGGGGUUUCCAAAGGCCUUUCUGGCUGGCCCUGCAGCGUAGGUGUCACCUGUGUGGGCAUGCCUUUGUGGCCCGGUCACUCAGUGUGGGAUCUCCAAAGCCUAGGUGUGGGACAGGAGUUUUGUGUGCAAAGCUGAAUUCAAGGAACUCUCAAGACGGUUCAUGUAGGUUUUCCCUCUGGGCCUCCAGUGAUAACUCCAGACAGCACAGGGUCAGGUGUUGUCCCCCCGUCUGGCUGCCUUACCCCUUGCCCAGAACACGAGCAGGUCCCAAGGCAUUACCCGGGACACUAGGAAGCCCGUCUUGUGGAGCUUGGGGCUUCAUGCUUCUCCUGGCCAGGGCCUCUAACCUCUCCGCUCCUGUGUCCACUCCUCCAGGAGAAUCUCCGCCUCCCUCAGUAUCUGGCAGAUUGCUUGCUGUUCUUGUGCUUUUAUAACUUUUGCUGUCUUGGCCAACUGGAGUCCACAUUACUGUCUCCUCAAGUGUUUCUGUGCCAGGGAGGGGACUAGGAAAGCAGGGCUGCAGGGCCUGCUCAGUGGGUUCUAAGAUGUGUGUGGAUUCCAAAUGGGCCUGUGUAGGCUCCCACUGAGAGGAAGAUGGCCCUCAGGAAGUGGUUGGCUCUCCUUGUCAACAGGUCCUCAGAACAUCCCUUUCAGUCUCCGCUUGAAGAAACCCUUUCAAGCCAGGUCCUUGCUCUUCUGCCGUCAAGGAGCUUGACUUUUUCCAUUGUUGCUCACAUUCCAGCCUGCCAAGGUUGUUUAGUGCCGGCCCGGUCAUCCGAGCAUCCCAUACUCUUCUCAUGGACUCAUUCCCCUGAGGAAGUGGAAGGUUGUACCACACGGGACUCCCUAAUAUCAAAGAAGAAGGUGAAAACUUGCCUGUCAGCUGCCAGAGUGGGAUGUUCCCACACGCCGAGACCAUAUUUGGAAAAGGCUCAAACAAGACCCCUCCACAACCACACAACUAAACAUCCUCGCCUCUGAUCAGCACGAGGGACUGCUGCUGCUUUCGCAGUGAUGACUCUCGCCCACUUCAGUCCUCCCAGGUUACCUUAAGUUUCCUGAGCUACCUUGAAGAGUGGAAGCCAAAUGAAGACCACCAAGGGAAAGGGCAGAGACCCUGCCCUAUUCAUCUUUGUAUCCUCAACAACCGGCCCUGAGCAGGAGGCAGAGGGGCAACAUGUGCUUUCUAAUACCUGGCACGUGAGUGAGCAACAGUCGGGCGAUGCAUGGCUUGUGUACAAGAGUGACACACAAUAGUAGCAAUGACCAGUGAGUAUUCAACAGCUAAUGCGGCAAGGGAUGGCUCACUGCGGAAUAAAGGGGCGCUUUGGUUUUAGCCUGCAAUGAGUCUUUUAGGACUUCCGCCUCAACAUAUUGAGGUUUCAAAAUAAUCCAACCCAAGCUAGGUUCCCAGAGAAUGACAGACACAUUUUCACAUGUGAAUCACAGAUGGAUUUCACUUACUUAAAAAGAAGACAAACCAUUAAAUCAUCUCUCUGUCACACACACACAUACGUGAGCUUUUGAAUAUGACAACUGUUGCUCAAUUCACACCCUAACUUGCUUCCUUUGGUGAAAUGCCACAGCCCUGGAAUUGCAGCCAUGAUGGGAAUGUGUGAUUUCAACAAACGUUAGCUUCUUCCUGGGAUCCAGACAUACACUUAAGCUAUAGACUAGGUACUGGCUUCAAGGAAGCAUCCCUCUCAGCCUCUUCUGUGUGCGGGUAGAAUUAACUUACACUGUAUUUACAGAAUCUUGAUCAUUGAUCUAAAACACUUUUGAAAGGAGAAUAAGUGAACCUCCCAUUAAACCCAUUCAAAUUAUUAAAAGAUAUACCUCGUUGUGCUCAAUUUAGCUUCAAGGAUGUUCCAACUUUGUCAAAAAUAAAUGCGCUGAAGGCACUAAAAUAAUCUGAAGUCUCUUUCCUGAGUAGAGUGUCAAACUUCGGACUGAGCACAGCAUCUACAUGUGCUCUUUCUAAACUGAAGCUUUUCCGCAGGUUCCAUCACCAAGUGUUACCGACUGAGUGAAAUGAGUGGACACCAAGCACUCCCUCCGGCCAAACGGUCACUUGAGGCCUGUCGCUUGCUCUACCAACUACAGCUGCACCACAGUAAACAGCCAAAUAAAUACCUUGUACAGCCACAUCCAGAUGCAGGUCUUCAUUACCUUCAAACACAGAUGAAAAUACGAUUGUGAUUUAC
Callithrix jacchus (white-tufted-ear marmoset) is the source of this 3709-nucleotide non-coding RNA. NCBI's taxonomy places the organism in Eukaryota, Metazoa, Chordata, Mammalia, Primates, Cebidae. The record is from RefSeq and is a predicted model, not a curated record.